GAAUAUUGCGCAAUGGGCGAAAGCCUGACCCAGCCACGCCGCGUGGGUGAUGAAGGCCUUCGGGUUGUAAAGCUCUGUGGGGGGGGACGAACAAGCCUGGGGCUAAUCACCCGGGCCCUGACGGUACCUCCUUAGCAAGCACCGGCUAACC
This 151-nucleotide ribosomal RNA is filed under the name uncultured bacterium. Its description in RNAcentral is "partial 16S ribosomal RNA". It matches the Rfam family "Bacterial small subunit ribosomal RNA", at positions 359 to 502 of the family's 1533-position model. The record is from RNAcentral.